RNAcentral lists this unclassified non-coding RNA (330 nucleotides) under soil metagenome. RNAcentral's name for it is "partial contains 5.8S ribosomal RNA, internal transcribed spacer 2, and large subunit ribosomal RNA". The stretch from base 1 to 120 matches the Rfam family "5.8S ribosomal RNA", at positions 35 to 154 of the family's 154-position model. The record is from RNAcentral.
GAUGAAGAACGUAGCGAAAUGCGAUAAGUAAUGUGAAUUGCAGAAUUCAGUGAAUCAUCGAAUCUUUGAACGCACAUUGCGCCCCCUGGUAUUCCGGGGGGCAUGCCUGUUCGAGCGUCAUUUCACCACUCAAGCCUCGCUUGGUAUUGGGCAACGCGGUCCGCCGCGUGCCUCAAAUCGACCGGCUGGGUCUUCUGUCCCCUAAGCGUUGUGGAAACUAUUCGCUAAAGGGUGUUCGGGAGGCUACGCCGUAAAACAACCCCAUUUCUAAGGUUGACCUCGGAUCAGGUAGGGAUACCCGCUGAACUUAAGCAUAUCAUAAGCGGAGGA